RNAcentral lists this ribosomal RNA (794 nucleotides) under uncultured Methanomicrobiaceae archaeon. RNAcentral describes it as "bacterial SSU rRNA". It matches the Rfam family "Archaeal small subunit ribosomal RNA", at positions 68 to 864 of the family's 1478-position model. The record is from RNAcentral. Lineage: Archaea; Methanobacteriati; Methanobacteriota; Methanomicrobia; Methanomicrobiales; Methanomicrobiaceae.
GGCCGCGGGAAUUCGAUUACUGCUCAGUAACACGUGGACAACCUGCCCUAAGGUGAGGGAUAACCCCGGGAAACUGGGGAUAAUACCUCAUAAUCUACAGAUGCUGGAAUGCUCUGUAGGUGAAAGGUCAGCCGCCUUAGGAUGGGUCUGCGGCCGAUUAGGUAGUUGUUGGGGUAACGGCCCAACAAGCCUGUAAUCGGUACGGGUUGUGGGAGCAAGAGCCCGGAGAUGGAUUCUGAGACAAGAAUCCAGGCCCUACGGGGCGCAGCAGGAGCGGAAACUUUACAAUGCAGGUAACUGUGAUAAGGGAACCCCGAGUGCCCGUAUGGACGGGCUGUUCAGGUAUGUAAAGAACACCUGGAGAAAGGGCCGGGCAAGACCGGUGCCAGCCGCCGCGGUAAUACCGGCGGCUCGAGUGGUGGCCACUAUUACUGGGCUUAAAGCGUCCGUAGCUGGGUAGUUAAGUCUCUUGGGAAAUCUUCCGGCUCAACCGGAAGGCGUCUAAGGGAUACUGGCUACCUAGGGAUCGGGAGAGGUGAGAGGUACUCUGGGGGUAGGAGUGAAAUCCUGUAAUCCCUUAGGGGACCACCUGUGGCGAAGGCGUCUCACCAGAACGACUCCGACAGUGAGGGGACGAAAGCUGGGGGAGCAAACCGGAUUAGAUACCCGGGUAGUCCCAGCUGUAAACUAUGCGUGUUAGGCGUAUCGGUGACCACGAGUUACCGAGGUGCCGAAGGGAAACCGUGAAACGCGCCGCCUGGGAAGUACGGUCGCAAGGCUGAAACUUAAANGGA